UUCACCGCCGCCGUCCCUCCUCCUUUUUCACUUUUCAAAGUCACCGCCACCGACUCUUUUCCCCUUUUCAAAGUUCGCUGGAUUUCAAACUCGAAAGUGGAUGUUUUUUUUUAAAAAACUAAUACGAGGUGAGGUUUUGGAUCUUGGUUGUUGUAAGGUGGGGUUUUAGAUGUUUGUGGUGGUGAGGUGGGAUUUCGAUUUGUUUCCUUGGUGGUGGUAAGUUGGGGUUUAGAUCUAAAUUAGUGGUGGUUUGUUGGGGUUUCGGUUUGUUGGAGGUGGUAAGGUGGUCAAUUGGUUGUGCGAGUUGGUUGGGUGGGUUCGUUGGGUGGUGGUGCGAGUUGAUUGGUGGCGGUGCGAGUUGGUUGGGUGGGUUUUGGGUGGUGGUGCGAGUUGAUUGGUGUGGGUUUUGGGUGAUGGUGCGAGCUGCUUAGUGGUGGUGAGAGGGUGGGUUACAAGGUGGGUGUUUGUGUUGUUACUUUCUCUCUCAUCCAAUUAAUCACAUGGCCUUUUUUUUUACUAAUUUUUGCUUAACAAAUUGUGUCUUGGGGACUGUGCAACCAAGUUUGCUGCAGAUUUUAUGAAAAGGGGUAGUGAUAAAAUAUUGUUAAAUUUACAAUUAUUUACAAGUUGUGUGCAAUUUGAGUAACUAAGAUUGUUACUCAAAUUGAGUAACGGGGGCUAGCCCUUAAACUUUUGCUGCUAUUAAAAUUAUUUUAUUGAUAUCUUAUAAUAUUUCUACUUGAAUUAUUUUUAUAAAAAAUUUUUAAGGGGAAGAGCACAUAUUUUAUUAAAAAAUUAUUUUAGUCGUGAUUUGUAAUUGGAUAGCCCUCAUUAAAACUUAUUUUUCCAAUUUAUCUUAGCAUCUCUUGUGUUUACUUUAUUUUUACUUAUUUCAAGUCUAAUAUUUUUUUUUUGAAAAGAUCAAGUCUAAUAAGUUCAGAUACGUUCAAUUCAAUUUAAAAAAAAAUGUAAUAAAGGUUAUCCAAGUUCAAUUACAACUAAAAUAAGUUUUAAUAAGUUCAGAUAAGUUUUUUUUUUAUAAAAAAAAGUUCAAAUAUGUUUAAAUAAGUAAAAAUCAGAUAAAUAAAACACAUCCUUAUUUAAACUCAACUAAACUUAUUAGAUUUGAAAUAAGUAAAAAUAAGGUAAUUAGAACAUACUCUUACACAUUUUUGUUUGUAAUUGUCUAAGUUGUAAUAUUUUGGUGCAAAUAAAAUCGCUUAUAUCAUUAACCGCUAACAUCUAUAAUAUUGUUAAAACCCAUGGAUUGCAUUAUAUUACAACACGUGGCAUCCUUAUGUCAACAUUACAUGGUGCACAUUAAUCUAUCUUAUAAAAAUUUAAGGCGUGACAUGGAGGUUAACAAUACUUAAGCUAUCUAAAAAAACCUUUUAUUUGUGAAACCUCUCUAUAAUACAGAGUAAUGUUUCAUUAACACAAAGUAUUGGGUGUGGCAAGCUGCAGCCAAUGUUUCGUCAUUCGAAAAGUAUCAUCGUCAUCUUCUUGCGGCGAUGAAUAACAAGUUUCCACAUGAUAAGAAGUUGGUGGUGGUUAUGGCGAAGGAGAGGACCAAGGUCAUCCAUGGCGGAAGAGAGAGAAAGUUUAACUACUUGAGAUUCUCGGAUUUUUCGAAAAAUGCCCAAAAAAUCGAACUGGGGCUUUCUUAUGUGAUGCAUAAUUGUUGAAAUUGAUUGUCCCAUAUAAUUGUAUGUUGAAUUGUGAGUAUUGAUGCAUGUUUUUUGGUUGAGAAAUGAACAAGUUAUGUUAUACCA
This is a long non-coding RNA of Chenopodium quinoa (quinoa), 1772 nucleotides long. RefSeq lists it as uncharacterized. Lineage: Eukaryota; Viridiplantae; Streptophyta; Magnoliopsida; Caryophyllales; Amaranthaceae. The record is from RefSeq and is a predicted model, not a curated record. The transcript has 2 exons.